Molecule: ribosomal RNA, 765 nt
Filed under: uncultured Streptococcus sp.
Lineage: Bacteria; Bacillati; Bacillota; Bacilli; Lactobacillales; Streptococcaceae
Description: bacterial SSU rRNA
Rfam family: Bacterial small subunit ribosomal RNA
Source: RNAcentral
GACGAACGCUGGCGGCGUGCCUAAUACAUGCAAGUAGAACGCUGAAGAGAGGAGCUUGCUCUUCUGGAUGAGUUGCGAACGGGUGAGUAACGCGUAGGUAACCUGCCUUGUAGCGGGGGAUAACUAUUGGAAACGAUAGCUAAUACCGCAUAACAAUGGAUGACACACAGUCAUUUAUUUGAAAGGGGCAAUUGCUCCACUACAAGAUGGACCUGCGUUGUAUUAGCUAGUAGGUGAGGUAACGGCUCACCUAGGCGACGAUACAUAGCCGACCUGAGAGGGUGAUCGGCCACACUGGGACUGAGACACGGCCCAGACUCCUACGGGAGGCAGCAGUAGGGAAUCUUCGGCAAUGGGGGCAACCCUGACCGAGCAACGCCGCGUGAGUGAAGAAGGUUUUCGGAUCGUAAAGCUCUGUUGUAAGUCAAGAACGAGUGUGAGAGUGGAAAAUUCACACUGUGACGGUAGCUUACCAGAAAGGGACGGCUAACUACGUGCCAGCAGCCGCGGUAAUACGUAGGUCCCGAGCGUUGUCCGGAUUUAUUGGGCGUAAAGCGAGCGCAGGCGGUUUGAUAAGUCUGAAGUUAAAGGCUGUGGCUCAACCAUAGUUCGCUUUGGAAACUGUCAAACUUGAGUGCAGAAGGGGAGAGUGGAAUUCCAUGUGUAGCGGUGAAAUGCGUAGAUAUAUGGAGGAACACCGGUGGCGAAAGCGGCUCUCUGGUCUGUAACUGACGCUGAGGCUCGAAAGCGUGGGGAGCGAACAGG